Molecule: long non-coding RNA, 971 nt
Filed under: Homo sapiens (human)
Lineage: Eukaryota; Metazoa; Chordata; Mammalia; Primates; Hominidae
Description: non-protein coding lnc-SLC38A2-1:5
Source: RNAcentral
UUCAGUUUCAUCUGAAGAGAAUCCAACAAAGAAGAAAUUUUAUUUUCCAAUAAAAUAUUAAAGCUGCUUUACCCCACAAGAGACAGAGCAGAAAUUCCAUCCAUGAUCUAUAAAUCUAUGCGAAAACAAUACACAGUUCUGGCCAAAAGAAGUUAAAACAAAUGUGAAAAAUAAGCGACAUCCAGAAACUUCAGCAGCUCCCUUCUGUCCUAUGCCUCAAGGUACCAGAGAGGGAAAAAGACCCCCAGGAGAGGCUGUGAGGAAACCUGAACUGCAAACCCACCACGAUGUCUUCCUGGGAAAGGCAAGUUGGUAAAGAAAGAUGUGAACUCUAUUUCAGGGUAGUAUGUUUUUUUCAUUUGCUUCCAAGACUUUGAUGGAAUGACUUGAGAGGAAAAGUUCACAAUUACUAGAAAGAACCUAAAAGGACAUGAGAGAUGAAACCGUUGCAGUAUUUUUGAAAUAAAUGUUUUCCUGCAAGAGCAGAGUCAUGGGCGGGGUGUCUGUGUAAUAUCUACUCAACACAGCCGAAGGGUAAGAGGAAAUCUUGGUAAGCCGACUUCCAAGUCUUAAUGGGGAACCAUACGGAACCAACUGCACGCCAAAUCCCACGCUCACCGAAGCUUCAGGGAUUUUCUUGUGGGUCUGGGGGUUUAAUCUGACAGCUCCUAGAGCCUUCAGGACUUCCCGGGCACAGAUAAUGGGCCGCGACUGCACCCCCGCGUCCCUCCUUGGGGCGCAGGCUUUCCACAGCUACAGUUCUCCACGUCAGCAGCCACGUACACAAGCGCCGGCAGCUGCCAACAGGGCGUGCCCGCUUCCAACCCUGCACUCUCCCAAGCAGGACAUCCCUGCACCGCCCGGCGCGUUCGCGAAAACUCCGCGGGGCCUCGAGGCGUCCCGGGAUUAGCCCUGACGCUGUAGGGCUCUCUAGGUUUUCCACGACGCAGGGGAGCGUAACUGGAGCGCAC